ACCGGCAGCUCAAGUGGUGGCCAUUUUUAUUGGGCCUAAAGCGUUCGUAGCCGGUUUGAUAAGUCUCUGGUGAAAUCCCGCAGCUUAACUGUGGGACUUGCUGGAGAUACUAUUAGACUUGAGGUCGGGAGAGGUUAGGGGUACUCCCAGGAGAGCGGUGAACUGGUACAAUCCUGGGGGGGGCGAAUGAGGGGCAGGCGCGUAACGGGGACUAACCUGCCGGUGAGUACCGAAAGUCACGCUCACGAAAUG
RNAcentral lists this ribosomal RNA (252 nucleotides) under uncultured prokaryote. RNAcentral describes it as "partial 16S rRNA". It matches the Rfam family "Archaeal small subunit ribosomal RNA", at positions 475 to 726 of the family's 1478-position model. The record is from RNAcentral.